Molecule: transfer RNA, 73 nt
Filed under: Saprospiraceae bacterium
Lineage: Bacteria; Pseudomonadati; Bacteroidota; Saprospiria; Saprospirales; Saprospiraceae
Description: tRNA-Gly
Rfam family: tRNA
About the family: Transfer RNA (tRNA) molecules are approximately 80 nucleotides in length. Their secondary structure includes four short double-helical elements and three loops (D, anti-codon, and T loops).
Source: RNAcentral
GCGGAUGUAGCUCAGUUGGUAGAGCGUCAGCCUUCCAAGCUGAAUGUCGCGAGUUCGAAUCUCGUCGUCCGCU